This 253-nucleotide ribosomal RNA is filed under the name uncultured bacterium. RNAcentral's name for it is "partial 16S ribosomal RNA". It matches the Rfam family "Bacterial small subunit ribosomal RNA", at positions 524 to 776 of the family's 1533-position model. The record is from RNAcentral.
UACGUAGGGUGCUAGCGUUGUCCGGAUUUAUUGGGCGUAAAGAGCGUGUAGGCGGCCAGGUAGGUCAGCUGUGAAAACUCGAGGCUCAACCUCGAGACGCCGGUUGAAACCAUCUGGCUAGAGUCCGGAAGAGGAGAGUGGAAUUCCUGGUGUAGCGGUGAAAUGCGCAGAUAUCAGGAAGAACACCCGUGGCUAAGGCGGCUCUCUAGUACGGUACUGACGCUGAGACGCGAAAGCGUGGGGAGCGAACAGG